GUGCCAGCAGCCGCGGUAAUACGGAGGGUGCAAGCGUUGUCCGGAAUCACUGGGUGUAAAGGGUGUGCAGGCGGGGCAACAAGUCGGAUGUGAAACCCCAUGGCUCAACCAUGGAGGUGCAUUCGAAACUGUUGCUCUUGAGUCCCGGAGAGGUUGCCGGAAUUCGUGGUGUAGCGGUGAAAUGCGUAGAUAUCACGAGGAACACCAGAGGCGAAAGCGGGCAACUGGACGGGUACUGACGCUCAGGCACGAAAGCCAGGGUCUCCAACCGGAUUAGAUACCCGAGUAGUCC
RNAcentral lists this ribosomal RNA (292 nucleotides) under uncultured bacterium. Its description in RNAcentral is "partial 16S ribosomal RNA". It matches the Rfam family "Bacterial small subunit ribosomal RNA", at positions 505 to 796 of the family's 1533-position model. The record is from RNAcentral.